This 274-nucleotide ribosomal RNA is filed under the name uncultured bacterium. Its description in RNAcentral is "partial 16S ribosomal RNA". It matches the Rfam family "Bacterial small subunit ribosomal RNA", at positions 81 to 353 of the family's 1533-position model. The record is from RNAcentral.
AAGUUUGAUGGCGACCGGCGCACGGGUGAGUAACACGUAUCCAACCUGCCGAUGACUCGGGGAUAGCCUUUCGAAAGAAAGAUUAAUACCCGAUGGCAUAGUUCUUCCGCAUGGUAGAACUAUUAAAGGAUUUCGGUCAUCGAUGGGGAUGCGUUCCAUUAGGUUGUUGGCGGGGUAACGGCCCACCAAGCCUUCGAUGGAUAGGGGUUCUGAGAGGAAGGUCCCCCCACAUUGGAACUGAGACACGGUCCAAACUCCUACGGGAGGCAGCAUG